RNAcentral lists this non-coding RNA (25 nucleotides) under Cricetulus griseus (Chinese hamster). The record is from RNAcentral. Lineage: Eukaryota; Metazoa; Chordata; Mammalia; Rodentia; Cricetidae.
UAUGGUGUUUACAUUCUAGAAUUCC